GCAACCGUAGCUCAGCUGGAUAGAGUGAAGGUUUCCGAAACCUUAGGUCGCAGGUUCGACUCCUGCCGGUUGCACCA
RNAcentral lists this transfer RNA (77 nucleotides) under Pseudobdellovibrionaceae bacterium. Its description in RNAcentral is "Bdellovibrionaceae bacterium (activated sludge metagenome) tRNA-Arg". It matches the Rfam family "tRNA". From Rfam's summary of the family: Transfer RNA (tRNA) molecules are approximately 80 nucleotides in length. Their secondary structure includes four short double-helical elements and three loops (D, anti-codon, and T loops). Lineage: Bacteria; Pseudomonadati; Bdellovibrionota; Bdellovibrionia; Bdellovibrionales; Pseudobdellovibrionaceae. The record is from RNAcentral.